UGGCUGAAUAAGGCUGCGUUCAGACAGGGAAACAACAAUCCGGCGAUUUGCUGCAGGGUUGUGCAGUGGUGGGAU
Sander lucioperca (pikeperch) is the source of this 75-nucleotide long non-coding RNA. RefSeq lists it as uncharacterized. The transcript has 3 exons. The record is from RefSeq and is a predicted model, not a curated record. Lineage: Eukaryota; Metazoa; Chordata; Actinopteri; Perciformes; Percidae.